Solanum dulcamara is the source of this 566-nucleotide long non-coding RNA. RefSeq lists it as uncharacterized. The transcript has 3 exons. NCBI's taxonomy places the organism in Eukaryota, Viridiplantae, Streptophyta, Magnoliopsida, Solanales, Solanaceae. The record is from RefSeq and is a predicted model, not a curated record.
CUUCAGUUCCCGCUGUACUCUCUUACUUUUUCUCUAUUUUUUUUUCAAAAUUUUCAAAAUCUAUCCUCAAAAGAAUCUCACUAAUUCAGUUAGGUUAAGGAAAAGAAAAAAAUUCGUCUAUUUCAGUAGGAAUUUUGAUUAGAAAAAGCACGAAAUUUCACUUCAAUGUCUGAUUCAAGGAGGAUUACAAGAGGGGCUGCGUCUAAAAUAGCCGAAGAGAGAUCGAAGUUUAUUCAUGAUCCAAUCCCCAUGCAAAAUAUUCAACCUUCAACCGAAGCAGGAAUUAUGGUUGAGGAUCAAACUGGGGAUGAACAAAUUCAUGAACUUCAAAUUGAUGAGGAAGUAUUUUACUCAUAAAUGUCAUUGCAUGUGCAAAUUUUAUUAAAUUUUUGUAUUUAUAAGCUUAAGUGAAUGUUGUAUUCAAACUGCAUUAGCAUUGAUUUUUUUGUAUCCUGCCUAUGGAAAUACAAGUUUGCUUGAUUAAUGUAUCCUAGGUACUAUCACAGUCUAUCUAUUAUUGUAUCCUAAAUUUUGAGUGUAGUUUGAUUCGCAUCUUUUAUGUUAUA